Non-coding RNA from Macaca fascicularis (crab-eating macaque), 59 nucleotides. The record is from Ensembl. Lineage: Eukaryota; Metazoa; Chordata; Mammalia; Primates; Cercopithecidae.
GAGAAAACUCACAAGGACUGCUAAUCCAUGCCUCCGUACCUAAAGCUACGGUUUUCUCA